UGCUUAGUACAUAGCACAUUAAAUCCUUCUACUGUAUAGUCUUCGUAGCAUGUGUGAAUAACAAGUCGACAGAUUUUUAGGAGACCUUCACGAUCAUCUUCAUGAUAAUAAGCUGACCCAUUUUCAUACCUGAAAAGCCUGCAGAGCCAGAGAGUAGUAUCAGAAAGGAUCCUUGUUGUGAGCUUCCUCAGUCUUUCCUUGUCCAGUACUGAUAUAUAGGCAGCCAAACUAUGUCCCAGUAGAGCCAUGUGACCCUGUUCACCAACAUUUUGAAGUCGGUAGGCUUGUGAAGACUCCUCUUCCUCUUCACCAUGCAUUAGGUUCUGAACUAACUGAAGUAUGCUCACCAUAUCCUGGCCGCUGCCUUGCAACGGUCCAGGAAUAUCCUUCCGUGCAUACUUCUUUUCAUUUUCCU
This 415-nucleotide long non-coding RNA is filed under the name Gallus gallus (chicken). Lineage: Eukaryota; Metazoa; Chordata; Aves; Galliformes; Phasianidae. The record is from RNAcentral.